UGUAACGGAGGCGCCCAAAGGUUCCCUCAGCCUGGUUGGCAAUCAGGUGUCGAGUGCAAGUGCACAAGGGAGCUUGACUGUGAGACUGACGGGUCGAGCAGGGACGAAAGUCGGGACUAGUGAUCCGGCACCGGCAUGUGGAAGCGGUGUCGCUCAACGGAUAAAAGGUACCCCGGGGAUAACAGGCUGAUCUUCCCCAAGAGUCCAUAUCGACGGGAUGGUUUGGCACCUCGAUGUCGGCUCGUCGCAUCCUGGGGCUGGAGUAGGUCCCAAGGGUUGGGCUGUUCGCCCAUUAAAGCGGCACGCGAGCUGGGUUUAGAACGUCGUGAGACAGUUCGGUCUCUAUCCGCCGCGCGCGUCAGAAACUUGAGGAAGGCUGUCCCUAGUACGAGAGGACCGGGACGGACGAACCUCUGGUGUGCCAGUUGUCCUGCCAAGGGCACUGCUGGUUAGCUACGUUCGGAAGGGAUAACCGCUGAAAGCAUCUAAGCGGGAAGCCUGUUCCAAGAUGAGGUUUCUCACCCCCUCGAGGGGGUAAGGCCCCCCACAGACCAUGGGGUUGAUAGGCCAGAACUGGAAGCGCGGUAACGUGUGGAGGUGACUGGUACUAAU
RNAcentral lists this ribosomal RNA (612 nucleotides) under Nocardia farcinica. RNAcentral's name for it is "partial 23S ribosomal RNA". It matches the Rfam family "Bacterial large subunit ribosomal RNA", at positions 2296 to 2905 of the family's 2925-position model. Lineage: Bacteria; Bacillati; Actinomycetota; Actinomycetes; Mycobacteriales; Nocardiaceae. The record is from RNAcentral.